AGGAAGGAGAAGACACCCUGAAGGAUCUCAGAUUCCUCCCCCAGGUGCUUCUCCAGAUUCCUCUUCAGAGGUCAGCUUGGAGGAGGAGGAACCAGCCCCAGGCACCUCAGGAGGAUUCACUGACCAUCCUGGUGGCUCCAGGACCAGCAGCCUCUGGGACGUGGACUCCCUUGCUGACCUUCUGGAGGAGGAAUCAGAGGAUAGCUGGGAUCAGGAUGCAGAGGCUUCUGAGGCCAGCCUUUCUUCCAGUCCAUGGGUAACUUAACACUGGCAACGAAGGUGGAAUUCAUUGGAAAUUGAGGCCGAAAAAGAGCUGAUCUCUAAUGGGGCACCACCUAAGAACCGAUUUGGACCAACUACACCUGAAAUAUUCUUCAGAGGCACCCACUGACUAAACCAGCAAACUCUGGUCAUUCGCUAUGGGAAACAGGUUUAUACACAUAAUGACACUGGGGGUGCCCUCUGGAUUCCUGCUUGGAUUAUAACCAUAACAGGAACACAGUCCUACUGAGUGGAGAUGGAGGAUGGCAAAGUAUAGCGCUGCAACAUCAACCAACUGGGGAGUCAUUUGGACACCUCCGUCUGCCGCCAGCCAGAAUAGAUUCAAUGACUCCGAAGCUCCACCACAAACAGAGAUAGAAGUGCAACACAGGUACCUGUUGAACUGGGGGCCAGUCAGCAAAUAGUUCCGGCAGAACUGGUUCCCAUUGUGACAGAGAUCCCAGCAGCCGAGCCUCCAAUAUGGCCAAGGAUGGAUCCUGUAGCAGCAGCUGCGGCUCCACCUCUCCCAAAGACGGACUAAUUGAACUGCUCAGUCCGAGACAGGGUUCCGCCACCCCACCUAUCUACGGGACUACGAAUGCUAAAGUGCAUAACAUUUAGUUGCUGAAGUUCUCACUCAGGUCUGCUUUUGAAGUGGGAAAAUACUUUAAUCUGAUUGGUUGACCGGCUGACAGUUUCCUAUUUUUCGUGUGAACUUAAUAAAAAAGCUUUGCUGAAUUCA
This is a long non-coding RNA of Thamnophis elegans (Western terrestrial garter snake), 1003 nucleotides long. RefSeq lists it as uncharacterized. Lineage: Eukaryota; Metazoa; Chordata; Lepidosauria; Squamata; Natricidae. The transcript is spliced from 2 exons. The record is from RefSeq and is a predicted model, not a curated record.